GGUUGGAUCAUUACUAAAAUCCAACUUUCCUUGGGCUAGCAAUAGCUCUUGGAUAAAGUUAGAGUGAGCCGGAACUAGAAAUAGGGAAACGCUCACUCGAAACACCCUUUGUGAACAUGAAUUGUCUUUGGAGUUUCCCUUAUGAGGAUUAGGGUAAAAUCUAGUCCAAGUUGAGAAACUCCUAUCCAUAAACUUUAAUAGUCAGCCUUUUUAUUCAUUCUUGAAGCUUACCCCUAGGGUACUCUAAUAGAAAUAACAAUAAGAAAACAACUUUUGACAACGGAUCUCUUGGCUCUCGCAACGAUGAAGAACGCAGCGAAUUGCGAUAAGUAAUGUGAAUUGCAGAAUUUCGUGAAUCAUCGAAUCUUUGAACGCAUAUUGCGCUUCCUGGUAUUCCGGGAAGCAUGCCUGUUUGAGAAUCGUUUAAACUUAUCAAACCCUCUUUGGGGGAAUGGAUGUGGGCCUUUUACCUUGGUUCUUGUAAUCAGGUAAGGUCUGAAAUAAAAUGACUUUCGCCUUUGUUUUCUUGGUUUUACCUUUAGGUUCAAUCCAGUUCACAUAUUAAACAAGUCUCCUAGCGUAUUAGGCUUUUAAGGCUACUCGCUUCUAGGUUUGGUGUGAAUUUGAAUUGAAUUUAAUAGUAAUUCAAAGUAAUAAAGGAUAGAGGGCCUUUAACUAAAACGAGGGUAGUAAUACUACUCGACCAAAUUUAUAAUCAAGGUCUCAAAUCAGGCAAGACCACCCGCUGAACUUAAGCAUAUCAAUAAGCGGAGGAAAAGAAACUAACAAGGAUUCCCCUAGUAACGGCGAGUGAAGCGGGAAGAGCUCAAAUUUGAAAUCUCAUGGGGUUCCCCUAUGCGAAUUGUAGUUUCGAGAAGUGUUUUCAGAACAAGGCCAGGUAUAAGUCUCUUGGAAUAGAGCAUCAUAGAGGGUGAGAAUCCCGUCUAAUACUUGGUUUACUGUUCUAUGUGAUACACUUUCAAAGAGUCGGAUUGUUUGGGAAUGCAGUCCAAAAUGGGUGGUAAAUACCAUCUAAAGCUAAAUAACGGCGAGAGACCGAUAGCGAACAAGUACCGUGAGGGAAAGAUGAAAAGAACUUUGAAAAGAGAGUUAAAUAGUACGUGAAAUUGUCAAAAGGGAAACGAUUGAAACCAGUAUUUGUCCUUUUAAAGUAUGGGCCUUUCCUUUCGAGGUUUGGAUACCGCUUUAGUUGGAUGGUCAACAUCAGUUUGGCCUAAAGGAAAAAGCCUUGAGGAAGGUAGCCAUUUAUUUCGGUAGGUGGUGUUAUAGACUCUUGGGAAAUACUUUGGGCAUCAGACUGAGGAUCGCAGCUUUUUAUUGGGUUAUUGGUCGCCCUUGGAGUGAGAGUGAAUAGACAGCUUGCUGACUACCGCUUGUUCAUACUGAGGUACGGUCUUUUAACCACAACCAUUGCUUAGGAUGUUGACGAAAUGGUUUUAAACGACCCGUCUUGAAACACGGACCAAGGAGUCUAACAUAUAUGCGAGUAUUUGGGUGUUUCAAACCCCAUCUGCGCAAUGAAAGUGAUAAGGUGGGAUCCCUUUUCCUUUGGGAAAAGGUGUGCACCAUCGACCGGUCUGGACUCUUUUUUAAGUGAAAGAUCUGAGUAAGAGCAUAUCUGUUGGGACCCGAAAGAUGGUGAACUAUGCCUGAAUAGGGUGAAGCCAGAGGAAACUCUGGUGGAGGCUCGUAGCGGUUCUGACGUGCAAAUCGAUCGUCAAAUUUGGGUAUAGGGGCGAAAGACUAAUCGAACCAUCUAGUAGCUGGUUCCCUC
RNAcentral lists this unclassified non-coding RNA (1795 nucleotides) under uncultured fungus. Its description in RNAcentral is "sequence contains 18S rRNA gene, ITS1, 5.8S rRNA gene, ITS2, 28S rRNA gene". The stretch from base 719 to 1795 matches the Rfam family "Eukaryotic large subunit ribosomal RNA", at positions 1 to 961 of the family's 3401-position model. The record is from RNAcentral. Lineage: Eukaryota; Fungi.